This 253-nucleotide ribosomal RNA is filed under the name uncultured bacterium. RNAcentral describes it as "partial 16S ribosomal RNA". It matches the Rfam family "Bacterial small subunit ribosomal RNA", at positions 524 to 776 of the family's 1533-position model. The record is from RNAcentral.
UACGAAGGGGGCUAGCGUUGCUCGGAAUUACUGGGCGUAAAGUGUGCGCAGGUGGCUUCGCAAGUCGAGUGUGAAAUCCCCGGGCUUAACCUGGGAAUUGCGCUCGAAACUACGGAGCUGGAGUGUGGCAGAGGAAGGUGGAAUUCCACGUGUAGCGGUGAAAUGCGUAGAGAUGUGGAGGAACACCAAUGGCGAAGGCAGCCUUCUGGGCCAACACUGACACUCAUGCACGAAAGCGUGGGGAGCAAACAGG